GCCAUAGCAUACAUAACCUCCCUUAGAAAUGUACCAAUUGAGGACUAUAUUCAUGAAUAUUAUUCAGUUGAGGGGUUCAAAUUGGCAUAUCAGUUUGAGGUCAAUCCUAUGGAUGACAAGUCACAAUGGCCUACAGUGAGCCUAGAUUUUGAUAUGAAGCCACCUAUACUUGUGCGGGGUGCUGGACGGCCAAAGAAGAAGAGGAUUAAGGCCAAAGGAGAACCUGGGAAGAGAGGACUAUAUCAAUGCAAACGAUGCUUCUAGUUUGGGCAUAUUGAGAAAGGUUGCACAAAUCGACAGGUGCAACCUGAUGAAGACCUUCCAAAAUAGCCUCCUAAUAAGAACAACAAGUCACAGCAGGCCAACAAGAAGAAAAAAACAGAACCUGCAAUGAAUUCUGAAAAUAUGCCCAGUCCAAAGAAGGGCAGGAAGAAGAAGGGAGUUACUAAGGAAGCAUCUACAAAAGGACCAGCUACUGCAUCAUCUAGUCUUGGGCCAAUGACAAGAAAAAGAUCAGCUGCACUGGCUGCAACUCCACCGGCGAGCAGGAGGAAACUAGUUCCUUAAUUAAUAUUGGUUUAUGUUUCAACAUGUGAUGGAGAACAACACACCUCCAUGGUUAUCUGAGCAUGUAAUGGAUGUUUAAUUUCUACUUCUGUAAUGGAUGUUUAAUUUCUACUACUGUAAUGGAUGUUAUCUGAACCUGUAAUGGAUGUUUAAUUUCUACUACUGUAAUGGAUGUUAUCUGAACCUAUAAUGGAUGUUCUCUCGUUUCGGGUA
Molecule: long non-coding RNA, 780 nt
Organism: Panicum virgatum (switchgrass)
Lineage: Eukaryota; Viridiplantae; Streptophyta; Magnoliopsida; Poales; Poaceae
Exons: 2
Source: RefSeq, a predicted model, not a curated record